Molecule: ribosomal RNA, 180 nt
Filed under: uncultured Escherichia sp.
Lineage: Bacteria; Pseudomonadati; Pseudomonadota; Gammaproteobacteria; Enterobacterales; Enterobacteriaceae
Description: partial 16S ribosomal RNA
Source: RNAcentral
GGCCCAGGGGCAUACGUCACUGAGGGGAACGUUCAUCUACACCUCUCCACCUGCAGUUACAUACGAUCUGUUUACAUAUGCUCUCAACAGAGCCUAUCAUGCGACAUCAUAUCCAGACGCGAGCGAGACGUGCGCAUCUCUGCGUCUGUCCUGCCGCGUAUGGGCCAAGCAUUUCACGGC